CGCGUAGGCGGUCUGAUAAGUCAGUGGUGAAAACUGAGGGCUCAACCCUCAGCCUGCCACUGAUACUGUCAGACUUGAGUAUGGAAGAGGAGAAUGGAAUUCCUAGUGUAGCGGUGAAAUGCGUAGAUAUUAGGAGGAACACCAGUGGCGAGGGCGAUUCUCUGGGCCAAAACUGACGCUGAGGCGCGAAGCGUGGGAGCAAACA
This 205-nucleotide ribosomal RNA is filed under the name uncultured bacterium. RNAcentral's name for it is "partial 16S ribosomal RNA". It matches the Rfam family "Bacterial small subunit ribosomal RNA", at positions 568 to 774 of the family's 1533-position model. The record is from RNAcentral.